This 122-nucleotide small nuclear RNA is filed under the name Canis lupus familiaris (dog). RNAcentral describes it as "U4 spliceosomal RNA". It matches the Rfam family "U4 spliceosomal RNA". Rfam says of the family: U4 small nuclear RNA (U4 snRNA) is a component of the major U2-dependent spliceosome. The structure of U4 snRNA from yeast and human has been reported. Lineage: Eukaryota; Metazoa; Chordata; Mammalia; Carnivora; Canidae. RNAcentral also lists the same sequence under 1 other name. The record is from Rfam by way of RNAcentral.
AGCUUUGCUCAGUGGCAGUAUUAGAACCAGUGAGGUUUAUCUGAGGCAUAAUUAUUGUUGACUGAAAACUUUUCCCAAUGACAUCUGAUUCCAUGUUCCAUGUCUGCCCCCUGCCCCUGCUG